This 1209-nucleotide long non-coding RNA is filed under the name Numida meleagris (helmeted guineafowl). RNAcentral's name for it is "lncRNA (ENSNMEG00000009765.1)". Lineage: Eukaryota; Metazoa; Chordata; Aves; Galliformes; Numididae. The record is from RNAcentral.
GCAGAGGGCACAGUGCACCCGCACCUGCAUGCAGCACCGCGUGCAUUACCUGAGCCCGCAGCAGCGCCCGUGCAGCAGCGCUGCAAAGAGCUUCACCUCCUGCGUCUGCUUGCGGGGUGUGCUGGAAACGUAUCACUGUGUGUGCGUGUGUGCGUGUGUGUGUGUGUGUGUGUGUGCGGAGGGAUGUAAAUAUUGACGCUGCAGCCAAUCGACAGCAUUUGCUUGCGGUGCUUGUGUUCUCGGGGAUGAGAGGUGAUUAGCUGGGGAAAAAAAAAAAAAAAAAAAAGUCAGUUCUCUUUGUUUUAGGGGAGAACGAUCGGCGGCUGGUCCAAAUUCAUUAGAAUAGGAAUGUUUGUGAAGGCUACGUGUGUACUUGUGCAUUCACCUUGCUUAGGUUGGCACAAUUUGCAUGCAGCGCCUUAGCACACAGCUCAAUUAGCCGAGGAGCCCUUUAAGAGCUGUAUUUCGGCACGAGGUGUGCACUUGUGUGAGUGCCCCUGCACAUGCUGGUGUGCACACGCGCCAAGUUUUUUUUGUCUCGCACCAUGCAGGUGGAGUGGGGGGGUGUAGGACUCUGUGUGUGCGUGCACGCAGCACUUUUGCAGUUUGCAAGGCGUGUGACAUCCGUGCAAGGAGCUCCUGCUUGCAAGCAAAGGGAGCAAUCCGCUCUGCGUGGAACAGGAGCGUGCACCGGAGAGCGAGGGGCAGAUCUGUAAGCCAGAAAGGAGCCGGGUGGCAGCGUCUUAAGGAGAGAUCAGUGCUCUGAUGGAACAGCGCUGGAGAAAUCCUUCCUCUGGUUGGGAAGUUGCAGUUCCAGCACGGCGCUGGCAUUCGGCAGAGCAGGAGCGAGCGCGCUGGGUUUGCUGCGAUGAGGUCAUCCCGAGCAAAGAUAAGGGAAGCGGUGCAUGUAUUAACCUGAAGGGAGCGGUGAUGUCAGCAAGGGGGAAGGAAAUCAAUGACUGCCAGGUCCCCUCGGGUGCUCCAGGUGAUGCCCCAGUUCACCUUCGCUUGCUUCUGCGGGCUGCAUGGCUUCUGCAAGAUGAAGAGGAAGAAGGAGGAACCCAGCGGGGAGCAGGAGACGGCGGUGUGAGCAGCAGGGACAGGAGUGGGACACCGGAGCUGCUGGGGGGCAUUGGCUGUCCCCUCUCCUGUCACCUCUGCAGGGAUCCCUGUGCUGCGGAGACAUCUGCCUGGCCAGGAGGGAGCUGA